GAUCGGGCUCUGUGCAAUCGCCUGUUACCCAACCCCGUCAGGUCCGGAAGGAAGCAGCGGUAAGUGAUUAGGCGGUGUGCCGCAAUCGGCUUGGUCUGA
This 99-nucleotide signal recognition particle RNA is filed under the name Spirochaetaceae bacterium. RNAcentral describes it as "signal recognition particle sRNA small type". It matches the Rfam family "Bacterial small signal recognition particle RNA". From Rfam's summary of the family: The signal recognition particle (SRP) is a universally conserved ribonucleoprotein involved in the co-translational targeting of proteins to membranes. Archaeal SRP consists of a 7S RNA and homologues of the eukaryotic SRP19 and SRP54 proteins. In most bacteria, the SRP consists of a 4.5S RNA and the Ffh protein (a homologue of the eukaryotic SRP54 protein). The record is from RNAcentral. Lineage: Bacteria; Pseudomonadati; Spirochaetota; Spirochaetia; Spirochaetales; Spirochaetaceae.